AGCAGCCGCGGUAAUUCCAGCUCCAAUAGCGUAUAUUAAAGUUGUUGCAGUUAAAAAGCUCGUAGUUGAAUUUCGGAAUCAAUGGAUCGGUCAUGCCACUCGGUGUGUACUGGUUUGAUUGGUUCUCACCUUCUAAGGAACCGUGAUGUCAUUAAUUUGGUGUCGCGGGGAAUUAGGACUGUUACCUUGAAAAAAUUAGAGUGUUUAAAGCAAGCUCACGCUUGAAUACAUUAGCAUGGAAUAAUGAAAUAGGACAUUGUAUUCUAUUUUGUUGGUUUCUAGGAUCGAUGUAAUGAUUAAUAGGGAUAGUUGGGGGCAUUAGUAUUCAAUUGUCAGAGGUGAAAUUCUUGGAUUUAUUGAAGACUAACUACUGCGAAAGCAUUUGCCAAGGAUGUUUUCAUUAAUCAAGAACGAAAGUUAGGGGAUCGAAGACGAUCAGAUACCGUCGUAGUCUUAACCAUAAACUAUGC
This 470-nucleotide ribosomal RNA is filed under the name uncultured Glomus. RNAcentral's name for it is "SSU rRNA". It matches the Rfam family "Eukaryotic small subunit ribosomal RNA", at positions 569 to 1042 of the family's 1831-position model. The record is from RNAcentral. Lineage: Eukaryota; Fungi; Glomeromycota; Glomeromycetes; Glomerales; Glomeraceae.